GUCGAAGAUGUGUCAAAACAAGAAAUAUUAAAACAAAGUAGAAGUAGUGCAGGAUAGAAAUCCAGUCCAGUUAAGGGAAGCUAUAGCUCUUCCACUUUGAAAAUCCACUGCUGGAGGUUGAGGAUGACAGACUACUUCCAGACAGAUGGAAAUCAAUAACUUGGCAGCAUGGAAGAGAUGUCUGGUUAAUGUUUUUUUAGUGAUCAGCACAGGAAAUAGAUAAAAGAGCUUUGCUUUUGAAGUAAAUAGAGUUAAUACUCUUGUCUAUCCCUUUCAUUUUCUUAAUAGUUUUCCUGUAUAUUGGAUUCUUUUACCGUGUAAGUACCUUUGUGCAGGCUGAUUGCAAUGCCUGCUGGCAGUCCUGACACUGAAGGACUAACCUUGUAGUACACUUUCAUAUGGUGGUGUUAGUAAUUCUAGAUCAAGCUCAGCUGGUCCUUAGGACAGAGCCACUAUUACAGGAUUCUAUU
This is a non-coding RNA of Pelobates cultripes (western spadefoot toad), 470 nucleotides long. The record is from the annotation of a GenBank genome assembly. NCBI's taxonomy places the organism in Eukaryota, Metazoa, Chordata, Amphibia, Anura, Pelobatidae.